This 108-nucleotide non-coding RNA is filed under the name Leptothrix cholodnii. RNAcentral's name for it is "Glycine sequence". It matches the Rfam family "Glycine riboswitch aptamer". From Rfam's summary of the family: This family represents the bacterial glycine riboswitch. Glycine riboswitches usually consist of two metabolite-binding aptamers domains with similar structures in tandem. RNAcentral also lists the same sequence under 1 other name. Lineage: Bacteria; Pseudomonadati; Pseudomonadota; Betaproteobacteria; Burkholderiales; Sphaerotilaceae. The record is from RNAcentral.
ACCACGCCGUCUGGAGAGACGUCACGCCCGUGACGCACCGAAGGAGCAAGGCCCCGGCACAGCGCCGCGCGGCUGAAACUCUCAGGUAUCAAGGACAGGGGGAGCGGC